UGUGUCUGUGGCAUACCUUUUGGUCUAUUGAGCGGAUUGGAACUACAGCCUGUUUGCAUAUGCGUAAUAUCUGAUCAAAUCGAGGCGGUGUCGGGAGGAUCUCGCUAUUCAUAUGUUAAGAGAGAAGAUUACUAAAAGACGAUUGAAAAUCUUACGAAAUUGACCAGAGGAGAACAGAAAUAUUAUUUUAAAUACAUAUCAAUUAGAUUCUUGGAUAGUUUAUUCUAUACAUCAAACAAGUUGAAUAUUAUAUGGUAUUGUUCACGGCAGCACCUGUAACAGAGCCGCAGCGCUGUUAACACCCCAGAUUAACAGCCUGUUACCGCUGUCGGCUACAGUUCCCUGUAAGUGCUCUCUAACAGCGUGCUCGAGCCUGCUCUCACGAUCGACACGGCUCUAGAGCGGCCUGAGCUUAUAAGCUACAUCUUCAAUUCGCUUCUCCGCACUUGGUGUUUCAACUGCAUACAAGGAAAAAUUAAAUGAAAAACAGUACAAACAUAUGAGUCACAGCGACGACUUCAUCAACAACAAAUCGAAAACAAAUUGAGCUAGAUAUAAUGUUUCGAAGUUUCCCACACAAUUCAAUCAUCAAAAGCAAAUCAAUAAAAAAUUCCAGGGCACCCACCGAACACAAACAAUUAAGCACUAGAUUUUGUUUACAAGCCCAACAACCAGACCACCCCCGCGAUACAAGCCAGGCCCAAAGGCCUUUAAUGAGCCACAUUAUUUUGUCAUAAAGUUCAAGCGACCGCAAGAAACAAAGUGCACAAACAGGCAACACCAGAACAGACGCAGCACUUAGACAUGGCUACGAAAGCGAAAACCUAAUGAACAGACAUAGAUACAAUCGUACAUCCUUUAUUUGUCUCAAGCUGUCGCUGUCAUAAAAUCAGAACCAUGAAAAACGACAUUAUACAAGAGUGGGGAGCCAGAUAGAGAGAGAGAGAGCAACACCGAAAAACACUUAAAACAAGAACAAA
Long non-coding RNA from Drosophila obscura, 980 nucleotides. RefSeq lists it as uncharacterized. The transcript is spliced from 2 exons. NCBI's taxonomy places the organism in Eukaryota, Metazoa, Arthropoda, Insecta, Diptera, Drosophilidae. The record is from RefSeq and is a predicted model, not a curated record.